Molecule: long non-coding RNA, 1053 nt
Organism: Dermochelys coriacea (leatherback sea turtle)
Lineage: Eukaryota; Metazoa; Chordata; Testudines; Dermochelyidae
Exons: 2
Source: RefSeq, a predicted model, not a curated record
CUUUAUGGUGGCAGUGGGAACAGCUUGUCUCUUAUUCUUUUGCUGUUGUACUGCAAUCCAUGCCAAUGAGAGACAGGCAGCUGGAAGCAUGAUUUUGUGCAGACACAUCUCAGCUGAAUCUACUGGAUGAAGCUGGGAUGUGGACUGCCAUUCAACAAGAUCUUCACACCAAGGAACAAACUGACAAUGUAGUCACAGGCAUGGAAUUGCAAAGUCUGGAAGGAAUUGAAGCAGUUGUUACAUUGCAUGCCAUUUACUUCAUGUUACACAUCAGGAAGAUGGGGUAGUGAACAUGCAGGAGUAAUAAGAAAAUUUCCAAAAUGUUCUUUAAAAGCUUCAGUAUCAGCAGUUCUGAACUAAGUACUCCCCCCUUGAACAGAAGGCUAUGAACUUCAAUUCCAUCUCAAGGAACAAUUUUAUUACAACAUGAAACUUUUUCAGAAUAUAUUCAUACCAAGACCAGUGUUCAGUACAAUACAGGAAAACAAAGUCCUGUUUACUUUUAAGACAUUUUCCAUAAAAAUCCUUUUAAUACAACUUCUGAAACAAGAGUUUUAUUCUUAAAUAAUAGUUCAGCCACUGUCCUGUUGAUCCCCUUUUACAGCUGGUCAGUGUAAAGGAGAUGUCCAUUUUUAGGUUUUUUCAAAACAACAAUGCUAACUUCCUGAGUGGUUAAUAGAGAAGGCAGAGGAAGCAAGCAGAAAACCUAUCCUAAAUAAGAGAGAUGCAAAAAAAAUAAAAUAAAAUAAAAUAAAAUAAAAUAAAAUAAAAAGGAAACAACAAGUGAUUCUGCAGAAACAGGAUUACAACAGAGUAAUUGUUGGCAACGUCAUUUCAGAAGCAAAAACACUUCAUUCUGCAUAGUCUUCUAGCAAAGAACCAUUUUGUUCACUAAACCCCAAGACCAGAAAGUGCUUCUGUGUCUCCACAGGCUGAUGAUGUGGAAUUAAUACAUGCUCUUGGCCACCAACAUGAUUGUUUGCUUUUUUUCUGGGUAAACUACUACAAGGAUUAACACAGGAGAAGCAGUCAAUUUAAAACAGCCACACAAAC